ACAUGCCUACAACAUAGUGUUAAUGAACUGAAUCCCAUUAGAACUCCGCAGUUAAGCGCACUCAAACUAUAGUAGUACUAGGAUGGGUGACCACCUGGGAAGUCCUAGUGUUCUACAUGCC
This is a non-coding RNA of Picea glauca (white spruce), 121 nucleotides long. Lineage: Eukaryota; Viridiplantae; Streptophyta; Pinopsida; Pinales; Pinaceae. The record is from Rfam.